AUUGAACGCUGGCGGCAGGCUUAACACAUGCAAGUCGAACGGUAGCAGGAGAAAGCUUGCUUUCUUGCUGACGAGUGGCGGACGGGUGAGUAAUGCUUGGGAAUCUGGCCUAUGGAGGGGGGAUAACGACGGGAAACUGUCGCUAAUACCGCGUAUUAUCGGAAGAUGAAAGUGCGGGACUGAGAGGCCGCAUGCCAUAGGAUGAGCCCAAGUGGGAUUAGGUAGUUGGUGGGGUAAAGGCCUACCAAGCCUGCGAUCUCUAGCUGGUCUGAGAGGAUGACCAGCCACACUGGAACUGAGACACGGUCCAGACUCCUACGGGAGGCAGCAGUGGGGAAUAUUGCGCAAUGGGGGGAACCCUGACGCAGCCAUGCCGCGUGAAUGAAGAAGGCCUUAGGGUUGUAAAGUUCUUUCGGUAUUGAGGAAGGUUGAUGUGUUAAUAGCACAUCAAAUUGACGUUAAAUACAGAAGAAGCACCGGCUAACUCCGUGCCAGCAGCCGCGGUAAUACGGAGGGUGCGAGCGUUAAUCGGAAUAACUGGGCGUAAAGGGCACGCAGGCGGUUAUUUAAGUGAGGUGUGAAAGCCCCGGGCUUAACCUGGGAAUUGCAUUUCAGACUGGGUAACUAGAGUACUUUAGGGAGGGGUAGAAUUCCACGUGUAGCGGUGAAAUGCGUAGAGAUGUGGAGGAAUACCGAAGGCGAAGGCAGCCCCUUGGGAAUGUACUGACGCUCAUGUGCGAAGGCGUGGGGAGCAAACAGG
This 760-nucleotide ribosomal RNA is filed under the name Haemophilus influenzae. Its description in RNAcentral is "bacterial SSU rRNA". It matches the Rfam family "Bacterial small subunit ribosomal RNA", at positions 28 to 776 of the family's 1533-position model. Lineage: Bacteria; Pseudomonadati; Pseudomonadota; Gammaproteobacteria; Pasteurellales; Pasteurellaceae. The record is from RNAcentral.